RNAcentral lists this ribosomal RNA (614 nucleotides) under uncultured bacterium. RNAcentral describes it as "bacterial SSU rRNA". It matches the Rfam family "Bacterial small subunit ribosomal RNA", at positions 54 to 666 of the family's 1533-position model. The record is from RNAcentral.
CAUGCAAGUCGAACGAAGCACUUUAUUUGAUUUCCUUCGGGAUUGAUUAUUUUGUGACUGAGUGGCGGACGGGUGAGUAACGCGUGGGUAACCUGCCUUGUACAGGGGGAUAACAGUUGGAAACGGCUGCUAAUACCGCAUAAGCGCACAACAUCGCAUGAUGCAGUGUGAAAAACUCCGGUGGUAUAAGAUGGACCCGCGUUGGAUUAGCUAGUUGGUGAGGUAACGGCCCACCAAGGCGACGAUCCAUAGCCGACCUGAGAGGGUGACCGGCCACAUUGGGACUGAGACACGGCCCAAACUCCUACGGGAGGCAGCAGUGGGGAAUAUUGCACAAUGGGCGAAAGCCUGAUGCAGCGACGCCGCGUGAGCGAAGAAGUAUUUCGGUAUGUAAAGCUCUAUCAGCAGGGAAGAUAAUGACGGUACCUGACUAAGAAGCACCGGCUAAAUACGUGCCAGCAGCCGCGGUAAUACGUAUGGUGCAAGCGUUAUCCGGAUUUACUGGGUGUAAAGGGAGCGCAGGCGGUGCGGCAAGUCUGAUGUGAAAGCCCGGGGCUCAACCCCGGUACUGCAUUGGAAACUGUCGUACUAGAGUGUCGGAGGGGUAAGCGGAA